Molecule: non-coding RNA, 28 nt
Filed under: Bombyx mori (domestic silkworm)
Lineage: Eukaryota; Metazoa; Arthropoda; Insecta; Lepidoptera; Bombycidae
Source: RNAcentral
UUCCAAAUCGAUAAAAAUCGAUUGCGAU